ACAUCCAAGAUCAACAUUUCAGUCCUUCAAGGACUUUCCUCAGGAUCAAAGACAUGAAAAAAUCUCUUUGAUCCUGAGGAAAGUCCUUGAAGGACUGAAACGUUGAUCUUGGAUGUUUUAACU
Non-coding RNA from Pelobates cultripes (western spadefoot toad), 123 nucleotides. Lineage: Eukaryota; Metazoa; Chordata; Amphibia; Anura; Pelobatidae. The record is from the annotation of a GenBank genome assembly.